AAGUUUUGGCACAGCUUAGCGAUUGAUACAAGCUCCUUUCUCUCCCUUCACUCAUUUCACGCCCAGUCGCCAACUACAGUUUAUGCAUUCUUAAAAUCAGAGUAUAAUCUUUGGGCGCGGUUUAUGCAUGAUUUCUAAAAUGUCAAUGGCAAACCCUUUCAAGAAGAUUGUGUCUGCCGUCAUACUUGAUUUAGAUGGUACCCUUCUCAAUACAGAUGGAUUAGUAUCUGAUGUUUUAAAGGGUUUUUUGGUCAAGUAUGGGAAACAGUGGGAUGGAAGAGAAGCUAGUAAAAUAGUAGGAAAGACCCCUUUGGAAGCUGCUGCUGCUAUAGUGGAAGAAUACGGGCUUCCUUGUGCAACAGAAGAAUUUAUUGCAGAAAUCACUCCUGUGUUCUCUGAUCAGUUGUGCAAAAUUAAAGCACUUCCAGGUGCCAAUCGGUUAAUUAAACAUUUAAGUGGUAAUAAUGUACCUGUGGCAUUGGCUUCAAACUCUCCAAACGCAAGCAUAAAAUCCAAAAUUUCAUAUCACCAGGGCUGGCAGGAAUCCUUCUCUGUCAUUAUUGGUGGCGAUGAAGUAAGAACUGGGAAACCAUCUCCUGAAAUAUUUUUGGAAGCAGCUAAAAGGCUGAAUGUCGAACCCUCCAGUUGCCUGGUCAUUGAGGAUUCUUUGCCAGGUGUUAUGGGUGGUAAGGCUGCUGGAAUGGAAGUGGUUGCUGUACCAUCACUUCCAAAACAAUCUCAUCUUUAUACAUCAGCAGAUGAAGUGAUAAACUCUCUACUUGAUUUGCAAACUGAAAAGUGGGGCCUACCUGCAUUUGAAGAUUGGAUUGAGGGUACCUUGCCAGUGGAACCUUGGCAUAUUGGCGGUCCUGUAAUUAAGGGAUUUGGUCGCGGCUCAAAGGUCCUCGGGAUCCCCACUGCUAAUAUAUCCACAGAAGGUUAUUCAAUGUUGCUUUCAGAACACUCCUCUGGCGUGUAUUUUGGUUGGUCUGGACUAUCGACCCGCGGUGUGUAUAAAAUGGUCAUGAGUAUUGGUUGGAACCCAUAUUUUAACAACGCAGAAAAGACUAUAGAGCCAUGGCUGCUUCAUGAAUUUGAUGAAGAUUUCUAUGGUGAGGAAUUGCGUCUUGUUAUAGUUGGCUAUAUUCGACCUGAGGCUAAUUUCACAUCACUUGAGAGCUUGAUAGCGAAGAUUCACGAUGACGGAAGAAUUGCAGAGAGAGCCCUUGAUCUUCCAUUGUACUCAAAAUAUAGGGAUGAUCCAUACUUGAGAGGCUCUUCAUUGUAAUGGAAAUGAUACAUGAAUUUCCUGAAAUACUGGAGAAAAAAGAAAAACUUUUAUUGCCA
RNAcentral lists this unclassified non-coding RNA (1347 nucleotides) under Hevea brasiliensis (rubber tree). Lineage: Eukaryota; Viridiplantae; Streptophyta; Magnoliopsida; Malpighiales; Euphorbiaceae. The record is from RNAcentral.